GACGAACGCUGGCGGCGUGCUUAACACAUGCAAGUCGAACGGAAAGGCCCUGCUUUUGUGGGGUGCUCGAGUGGCGAACGGGUGAGUAACACGUGAGUAACCUGCCCUUGACUUUGGGACAACUUGAGGAGACUGGGGCUAAUACCGGAUAGGAGCUCCUGAUGCAGGGUGGGGGUCGGAAAGUUUCGGCGGUUGGGGAUGGAUGCGCGGCUUACCAGCUUGUUGGUGGAGUAGCGGCUAACCAAGGCUUCGACGGAUAGCCGGCCUGGGAGGGGAGACAGCCACAUGAGGACUGAGAGACGGACCAGACGCGAAUGGGAGGCAACGGUGGAGAAUAUUACACAGUGAGGGGGAGCGUGAUGCGAAAGCGCCGGGUGCGGAAAGACGGCUUUCGGGUUGUGAACCGCAGUAACCUGAGACCAAGCGGGAGUGACGGUAAUGGGUAAAGAAGCACCGGCUAACUACGUG
This 468-nucleotide ribosomal RNA is filed under the name uncultured bacterium. RNAcentral describes it as "partial 16S ribosomal RNA". It matches the Rfam family "Bacterial small subunit ribosomal RNA", at positions 28 to 507 of the family's 1533-position model. The record is from RNAcentral.